This 252-nucleotide ribosomal RNA is filed under the name uncultured Actinomycetales bacterium. RNAcentral's name for it is "partial 16S ribosomal RNA". It matches the Rfam family "Bacterial small subunit ribosomal RNA", at positions 524 to 775 of the family's 1533-position model. Lineage: Bacteria; Bacillati; Actinomycetota; Actinomycetes; Actinomycetales. The record is from RNAcentral.
UACGUAGGGCGCAAGCGUUGUCCGGAAUUAUUGGGCGUAAAGAGCUCGUAGGCGGUCUGUCGCGUCUGCUGUGAAAUCCCGAGGCUCAACCUCGGGCUUGCAGUGGGUACGGGCAGACUAGAGUGCGGUAGGGGAGAAUGGAAUUCCUGGUGUAGCGGUGGAAUGCGCAGAUAUCAGGAGGAACACCGAUGGCGAAGGCAGUUCUCUGGGCCGUAACUGACGCUGAGGAGCGAAAGCGUGGGGAGCGAACAG